GGAAUAUUGGUCAAUGGAGGCAACUCUGAACCAGCCAUGCCGCGUGCAGGAUGACUGCCCUAUGGGUUGUAAACUGCUUUUGUCAGGGAAUAAACCUUUCUACGUGUAGAAAGCUGAAUGUACCUGAAGAAUAAGGAUCGGCUAACUCCGUGCCAGCAGCCGCGGUAAUACGGAGGAUCCAAGCGUUAUCCGGAUUUAUUGGGUUUAAAGGGUGCGUAGGCGGUCCUAUAAGUCAGUGGUGAAAGACGGCAGCUUAACUGUCGCAGUGCCUUUGAUACUGUAGGACUUGAAUCUAUUUGAAGUGGGCGGAAUAAGACAAGUAGCGGUGAAAUGCAUAGAUAUGUCUUAGAACUCCGAUUGCGAAGGCAGCUCACUAAGUUAGUAUUGACGCUGAUGCACGAAAGCGUGGGGAUCAAACAGGAUUAGAUACCCGAG
RNAcentral lists this ribosomal RNA (435 nucleotides) under uncultured Sphingobacterium sp. Its description in RNAcentral is "bacterial SSU rRNA". It matches the Rfam family "Bacterial small subunit ribosomal RNA", at positions 358 to 790 of the family's 1533-position model. Lineage: Bacteria; Pseudomonadati; Bacteroidota; Sphingobacteriia; Sphingobacteriales; Sphingobacteriaceae. The record is from RNAcentral.